Molecule: ribosomal RNA, 433 nt
Filed under: uncultured bacterium
Lineage: Bacteria
Description: partial 16S ribosomal RNA
Rfam family: Bacterial small subunit ribosomal RNA
Source: RNAcentral
AACGAACGCUGGCGGCAUGCCUAACACAUGCAAGUCGAACGAGACCUUCGGGUCUAUUGGCGCACGGGUGCGUAACGCGUGGGAACCUGCCCUUAGGUUCGGAAUAACUCCCCGAAAGGGGUGCUAAUACCGGAUAAUGUCUUCGGACCAAAGAUUUAUCGCCUUUGGAUGGGCCCGCGUUGGAUUAGCUAGUUGGUAGGGUAAAAGCCUACCAAGGCGACGAUCCAUAGCUGGUCUGAGAGGAUGAUCAGCCACACUGGGACUGAGACACGGCCCAGACUCAUACGGGAGGCAGCAGUGGGGAAUAUUGGAAAAUGGGCGAAAGCCUGAUCCAGCAAUGCCGCGUGAGUGAUGAAGGCCUUAGGGUUGUAAAGCUCUUUUACCCGGGAUGAUAAUGACAGUACCGGGAGAAUAAGCUCCGGCUAACUCCGUG